Molecule: ribosomal RNA, 253 nt
Filed under: uncultured bacterium
Lineage: Bacteria
Description: partial 16S ribosomal RNA
Rfam family: Bacterial small subunit ribosomal RNA
Source: RNAcentral
UACGUAGGGUGCGAGCGUUAAUCGGAAUUACUGGGCGUAAAGCGUGCGCAGGCGGUUUUGUAAGCCGGAUGUGAAAUCCCCGGGCUUAACCUGGGAAUGGCAUUCGGGACUGCAAGGCUGGAGUGCGGCAGAGGAGACUGGAAUUCCUGGUGUAGCAGUGAAAUGCGUAGAUAUCAGGAGGAACACCGAUGGCGAAGGCAGGUCUCUGGGCCGUAACUGACGCUGAGGAGCGAAAGCGUGGGGAGCGAACAGG